CAUUUCUCUCCCCUAAAUGCAUCUUUCUGCUCUUAAGUUUACGGAUGGGGGGCAAUUUUUUCUAGUCCUUACACGAGGAAGGCAAAAAGGACCUUUUUAUUGGGAGAUUGAGACUAAAAGCAAUGAUCGCUCCGAAUCAUUCUAAUGGGCAUUUCAGGGAUUCAAGGAAGGCUGCAUCACCACUGCUAUUAUUCCCAUCCUUAGCGUUUCCCUGUGCCCAUACAUUUGAAAUAUCUGGUGAAAGGAAGGGUGAAACCAUAUGUUGAAGGAGCUGCAUCUCAUUAGGGCAGUAUUAUUUUCAUCUGAUUGGAGAAGAAUGGUGUCUUCAUUCGGAAUCGUGUAUAGUAGGAUAGAGAAUUUUUCGGCUGUUUGGUAAACAUCAACAAAUGAUGAAACCUUCCACGGCAGAGACGCUCCAUAAAGGAAGGAUGUUGUGGAUAAUUCUUCUAAGCACAAUUGCUCUAGCAUGGACUACACCUAUUCCCUUGAUAGAGGACUCGGAGGAACUGGAUGAGCCUUGCUUUGAUCCAUGUUACUGUGAAGUGAAGGAAAGCCUUUUCCAUAUACAUUGUGACAACAAGGGAUUUAUAAAUAUUAGUCAGAUAACAGAGUCGUGGUCGAGACCUUUUAAACUUUAUCUGCAGAGGAAUUCCAUGAGGAAAUUGUACACCAACAGUUUUCUUCACUUGAACAAUGCUGUAUCUAUUAACCUUGGGAACAAUGCACUGCAGGACAUUCAGACCGGGGCUUUUAACGGGCUCCGAGUUCUGAAGAGGUUGUAUUUGCACGAAAACAAAUUGGACAUUUUCAGGAACGACACUUUCCUGGGUUUGGAAAGUCUGGAAUAUCUGCAGGCAGAUUACAAUGUCAUUAAACGGAUUGAAAGCGGGGCAUUUCGAAACCUAAGUAAAUUGAGGGUCCUUAUCCUAAAUGACAAUCUUAUCCCCAUGCUUCCCACCAAUUUAUUUAAGUCUGUGUCCUUAACCCACUUGGACUUGCGGGGGAACCGCCUCAAAGUCCUUUCGUACCGCGGGAUGUUGGACCACAUUGGCAGGAGCCUGAUGGAGAUCCAGCUGGAGGAGAACCCGUGGAACUGUACGUGCGAGAUUGUGCAGCUCAAGAGCUGGCUGGAGCGCAUCCCCUACACCGCUCUGGUGGGGGACAUCACCUGCGAGACCCCCUUCCACUUCCACGGGAAGGACCUGCGGGAAAUCAAGAGAAGCAAGCUCUGCCCCAUGCUGUCCGACUCCGAGGUGGAAGCCAGCCUGGGCAUCCCUCAGCUGUCCUCCAGCAAGGAGAACGCGUGGCCUACGAAGCCUUCCUCCAUGCUGUCCUCCUUCCAUUUCACCGCUUCCUCUGUUGAGUACAAAACGUCCAACAAGCAGCCCAAGCCCACCAAGCAGCCCAGGGCGCCCCGGCCUCCCCCGACCCCCCGUGGCCUGUACCCCGGGCCCAACCAACCGCCCGUGGCUGCCUACCAGACCCGGCCCCCCAUCCCCAUCAUCUGCCCCACCGGCUGCUCUUGCAGUUUGCACAUCAACGACCUGGGCCUGACGGUCAACUGCAAGGAGCGGGGAUUCCACAACAUCUCCGAGCUCCUGCCCAGGCCCUUGAACGCCAAGAAGCUGUACCUGAGCGGGAAUUUGAUCCAGAAAAUCUACCGCUCCGAUUUCUGGAAUUUUUCCUCCUUGGAUCUCUUACACCUGGGGAACAACCGGAUCUCCUACGUGCAGGACGGGGCGUUCAUCAACCUGCCGAACCUCAAGAGCCUGUACCUGAACGGGAACGACAUCGAGCGGCUCACCCCGGGCAUGUUCCGGGGCCUGCAGAGUUUGCAUUACCUGUACUUCGAGUACAACCUGAUCAGGGAAAUCCAGCCGGCGGCCUUCAGCCUCAUGCCCAACCUGAAGCUCCUCUUCCUCAACGACAACCUGCUCCGCACGCUGCCCACCGACGCCUUCGCCGGCACCUCCCUGGCGCGCCUCAACCUGCGCAACAACCACUUCCUGGCGCUGCCGGUGGCCGGGGUGCUGGAGCACCUGCACGCCAUCGUGCAGAUCGACCUGAAGCUCAACCCCUGGGACUGCACCUGCGAGCUGGUGCCGCUGAAGCAGUGGCUGGAGGCGCUCAGCUCCGUCAGCGUGGUGGGCGAGGUGCUGUGCGCCAGCCCCGAGCCGCUGGCCCGCCGCGACCUGCGCUCUCUGGAGCUGGCCGCGCUGUGCCCCGCCGCCCUGCGCCCCGCCGCCGCCGCCGCCUCGCCCCCCGCCGCCGCCCCGCCGCCGCCGGCCGCCACCGGCGCGGCCGCCUACGAGCUGCCCCCGGCCGCCGCGGCCGCGGCCGUGCCGCUCUCCGUGCUCAUCCUCAGCCUCCUCGUCCUCUUCUUCUCCGCCGUGCUGGUGGCCGCCGGGCUCUUCGCCUUCGUGCUGCGCCGCCGCCGGCGGAAGCUGCCGUUCCGCGGCCCGCGGGCGGAGGCGGCGGACCUGGGCGCGGUGCCGCUGCGCUGCCCGCGGCUCUUCCCCGAGGGCGGCGGCGGCGGCGGCGGCGGGGGCGGCGGCGGGGGGGGCCCCGGGGAGCGGUCCCCGGAGAAGGCGCCCCCGGCGGGCCACGUCUACGACUACAUCCCGCACCCGGUGACCCAGAUGUGCAACAACCCCAUCUACAAGCCGCGGGAGGAGGAAGAGGCGGCGGGCGGCGGCGGCGGCGAGGCGGCCGAGCUGCUGCGGGGCGGCGGCGAGCGCGGCUUCGCCCACCCCGCCGCCCCCGCCGCCGCGCCGGAGCCGGGCAGCAGCUACCGCACCUUGCUGGAGAAGGAGCAGGAGUGGAGCCUGGCCGUGUCCAGCUCGCAGCUCAACACCAUCGUGGCCGUGCACCCCCAGCACCCCGCGGGCGGAGGGCUGGCGGCGGGCGCGCUCGGGGCGGCGGCGGCGGCGGCGGGGGGAGCCCCGCGGGACCGCGACCGCCCGCCGCCCUGCGCCGUGGGGUUCGUGGACUGCCUGUACGGCACCGUGCCCAAGCUGAAGGAACUGCACGUCCACCCCCCCGGCAUGCAAUACCCGGACCUGCAGCAGGACGCCAGGCUGAAGGAGACGCUGCUCUUCGCGGCCGGCAAGGGCUUCCCGGACCACCAAACCCCCACAAGCGAAUACCUCGAGUUAAGGGCCAAACUCCAAACCAAGCCGGAUUACCUCGAAGUCCUGGAGAAGACCACGUACCGGUUCUGACCGCCGCCCCGCCGCCCGCCCGGCCCCGCCGCCCGCGAGCCGAGGAUACAGCUGUGCGCUCUGCCCCGCCAGAUGUGCGCGCUGCGGGGCAGGGCCCUUCUCAGAUCAGUAAUCGACGAAGUGCCUUCGCAGACUUUUGCCAGCAGAUGUUAAUCAAUCAUUAUUUUUUUAUACUGAAACUGAGACUUUGACUGUGCCAUGUCUAAAGUGACCCAAAAACCUGGCUGCUUUGGAAAGUGGAUAGUAUUGGCAAGCAAAGAAAUAUGGCAAGUAAAAAGUCUUUUUUAGAUCCAGUUGAUGUCAGUGUUUUCUUCAAAAAAAGGGCAAGUCACAGCCCUGAGGGGUCCUGAGGAGGAGUCAAGGCACCGAUUAAGGCAGAGAGUAAUUGUUCAGUCCGUGCUUAAUUGUCCCCUUCAGUUUUAAACCAGUGAAGAAUUGUGGAUGGAUCCAGUUUUUGUAGAUAAAUAUAUAUAUGCAUUCCUUCUGUGAGCAGUGGGGGGCUGUGACACUGCAGCCAGGGAGGCUGAUGGAAGGAAUGGCAAUGGUUAAGCUGGGACAAGUGGGAAUUUUGCCAAGGCUGACAGUGAGAAUGGCACCUGAAAGUCAAGUGCCUCUCGCUGGCUUUGAGACAACCAAUAACUACAUGAAAUUCUUGUUGCAAACCCUUGUUUUAGAGCAGGUAACAAAUAGCUCCCAGACCCUAUUUUUCCUGCCUUUAGCCCAAGCUCUCACCAGCCCGCACGUCGCUGGCUUUCCCAGAAUUCCUUUUACCUGCCUGCAUGCACAGAUCCUCCUUGGGCUGAGGACACACCCUGACCCCUGUGUUUGUGCCUGGAGUGGAGACCAACUGAAAACACAGUUCUCUCUGUUGGGUUUUUCUGUAGAGUGGUGUAUUGCACCUCGAGGCUUCCCUCUGCCCCGCCUGGAGUGCCCUCAGCUUGCUGGCAGCCUCGCCAGGUUGGCCAUGGUGGUGCCACAGGCCUUUGCCAGCCCCUCCGAGCCAACCAGAGUCUGUGCAAGCCUUCAGAGCACAAAGCCCUGAUAAGAAGGAUCUCUAACAGGUACGCAUCAGGGAGAAGGAGGAGACGUUCCUAAAAUUAGUUGCUGUCAGCCCCAAGCAGGAGCGAGUGCCUCGUGUGUCACGGAAACGCUGAGUAUGUGCUGUGUAUACUGUGUGGAUAUCUAAGUAUGUACCUAUAAUUACACCAUUGAAGUGUAAAAUUCAAUCUUUUGCCAACUUCUGGGAGAUUCAGGAAUGUGGCUUGCUUUGGACUGUAAUUAAAAUAUGGGCAUUUCGGUUAAAAAUAGCUCCUUUCCGACCUACAUUCCCGAUGUAGGUCAGUGGAGGCACUGCUCAGACAUAUUAGCAUUUUGGACACUUAAUCUUAGCAGCAUAUUGCAUCUCCUAGAAUAGGUUAGGAGAGGCAAGGCAGGAGGAACUGCUGCAUCUCGAGUCACCCAGAGAGGUUGCCAAGUUUCUCAGGCACCAGAGAGGCAGAAUAAUGAGGAUUAUAUUUAAUUCGGGCUGGAGAGACAACCGUGGGGUGUUGAGCAGAGGCAGCUCGGAUCAUCUUGGCUCUGUGGGGGAGGGAGAAUUUAUAACUCUAGCUGGCUCCAAAGCAAGCUGUGUGUGCUUUGCGUGUGUAUAUAUAUUUAUAUAUAUGUAUAUACAAAUCUGGAUGUGUAUAUAACACCCUGUGUAUAUAUGUAUGUAUGUAUGUAUAUGCCUACAGUGUACAAAAUGUGUAUCUAUAGAAAUGUAUACAUUUAUAUGAAUUUCUAUUUCUCUAUAUAAAUAGUCAUGCAACUAGGGGAAAUCACAUUUCCACGGCGUGACCUUUUCUGUAACACCCCCCCAAAAAGAAGCUGCUUCCAUUAAUGUCAUAUUGGCACAAAUGACUUAAUUUUUCUUUUCUGCUUUGAAAGGAGCGGUGCUUAGUGGCUGAGCACAAGCCUGGAAGGUUUUUACUCUUCCAGAGGACUUCCAGUAAAUCAUGAGUUGCUCCAGAGCCGUUCCACAUUUGUGAAAUAAAGUGGUGGCCAAAAUGUCUCAGGGCUGGUUUUAUAGGCAAAGGAAAGGGGUUGUUGAGUGUGCACUGGAAACCUCUGCUAUGUUCUCAGAACUCUGAUGGUGAAAUGCCUGCACUGCUAAUUACUCUGGUUGCUGUUAAUUUCCCAGCAACUGGCUUGAACAGGGAAAAAAAAAAAAUCCUGCUCUAAAGUAAGUUAUCUGAAGUUUGAUUAUGUUGCCUCAGUGAUGUAUGGAUUUCCAUUUAGGGUCAGGAUGUUGGGCUGUAAAUCAAGAAUCUGAGCUCAGUGAACAUCUAGUUUGGGUUGUGUCUUUUCUGUUCUAAUUGAUUUUAAAUAAUUUCAAUUCAUCAUCAGAACAAGCUGUACCUUAAUUCAUGAUAAGCUCAAAGAAUUUCCCAUUCAUAUCAGGGUGAAUUUUGCACUUGACUUCGGUGGGGUUGAACGAGGUCAGAGCGUUUCAUUCAGCACUGGCAUAAAAAACAAUCUUGUAGUUGUGCAACUAUUAAUUCAAAUUGUAAUUUUGUAAUAAAAGCAGCCCAAAAAUGA
RNA transcript from Vidua macroura (Pin-tailed whydah), 5798 nucleotides. It is a transcript of the gene named SLIT and NTRK like family member 3, with no coding region annotated. NCBI's taxonomy places the organism in Eukaryota, Metazoa, Chordata, Aves, Passeriformes, Viduidae. The record is from RefSeq and is a predicted model, not a curated record. The transcript has 3 exons.